This 372-nucleotide long non-coding RNA is filed under the name Nicotiana benthamiana. RNAcentral describes it as "long non-coding RNA (NBEN_LNC039805)". The record is from RNAcentral. Lineage: Eukaryota; Viridiplantae; Streptophyta; Magnoliopsida; Solanales; Solanaceae.
UUGACCACUGCGAUCGAUCCGAUAAACCAAAGCAUCCUGGCCAACCGACUAACCAUUGAGAAUGGAACAAAUAGGGGAGAUUUAAUUCUUCUCUCUUGUCUUUCAACCCUUGCUCUUGCCUCGGCUUCGCCUUCCACCUUAUUAAGCUUUGGACUUCCACCUUCACUAACCCGUGGGACGGGACCGACCUUCUCUUUUGUUUGUAAUUGGACUUGCCCGAAACAAAGGAACCUUGGCGUGAGAACCCUCUAGAUUAGGGAGAUCCAAAUAAGAGCUUGUUGCAUAUGCGUAGGAAACCACCCCAUGCGGUGUGAGAAAAGCCCACUUGACUUCGGAAUGCCAACCUCCCUUAGCUUAGCCCUUUACGACCUU